RNAcentral lists this ribosomal RNA (216 nucleotides) under Glomeromycotina sp. RNAcentral describes it as "partial small subunit ribosomal RNA". The stretch from base 40 to 216 matches the Rfam family "Eukaryotic small subunit ribosomal RNA", at positions 686 to 864 of the family's 1831-position model. The record is from RNAcentral. Lineage: Eukaryota; Fungi; Glomeromycota.
GGGUCAUUAGGUUGGUCGUGCCACCGGUACGUACUGGUCUCACUGAUUCCUCCUUCCUGAAGAACCGUAAUGCCAUUAAUCUGGUGUUGCGGGGAAACAGGACUGUUACUUUGAAAAAAUUAGAGUGUUUAAAGCAAGCUAACGCUUGAAUACAUUAGCAUGUAAUAAUGAAAUAGGACGAUCGAUCCUAUUUUGUUGGUUUCUAGGAUUGACGUA